This 1128-nucleotide ribosomal RNA is filed under the name uncultured organism. RNAcentral describes it as "SSU rRNA". It matches the Rfam family "Bacterial small subunit ribosomal RNA", at positions 36 to 1185 of the family's 1533-position model. The record is from RNAcentral.
CUGGCGGCGCGCCUAACACAUGCAAGUCGACCUAGCGAGAGAGAGCUUGCUUUCUCGAGCGAGUGGCGAACGGGUGAGUAACGCGUGAGGAACCUGCCUCAAAGAGGGGGACAACAGUUGGAAACGACUGCUAAUACCGCAUAAGCCCACGGUGCCGCAUGGCACAGAGGGAAAAGGAGCAAUCCGCUUUGAGAUGGCCUCGCGUCCGAUUAGCUAGUUGGUGAGGUAACGGCCCACCAAGGCGACGAUCGGUAGCCGGACUGAGAGGUUGAACGGCCACAUUGGGACUGAGACACGGCCCAGACUCCUACGGGAGGCAGCAGUGGGGAAUAUUGCACAAUGGGGGAAACCCUGAUGCAGCGACGCCGCGUGGAGGAAGAAGGUCUUCGGAUUGUAAACUCCUGUUGUUGAGGAAGAUAAUGACGGUACUCAACAAGGAAGUGACGGCUAACUACGUGCCAGCAGCCGCGGUAAAACGUAGGUCACAAGCGUUGUCCGGAAUUACUGGGUGUAAAGGGAGCGCAGGCGGGAAGACAAGUUGGAAGUGAAAUCCAUGGGCUCAACCCAUGAACUGCUUUCAAAACUGUUUUUCUUGAGUAGUGCAGAGGUAGGCGGAAUUCCCGGUGUAGCGGUGGAAUGCGUAGAUAUCGGGAGGAACACCAGUGGCGAAGGCGGCCUACUGGGCACCAACUGACGCUGAGGCUCGAAAGUGUGGGUAGCAAACAGGAUUAGAUACCCUGGUAGUCCACACUGUAAAACGAUGAUUACUAGGUGUUGGAGGAUUGACCCCUUCAGUGCCGCAGUUAACACAAUAAGUAAUCCACCUGGGGAGUACGACCGCAAGGUUGAGACUCAAAGGAAUUGACGGGGGCCCGCACAAGCAGUGGAGUAUGUGGUUUAAUUCGACGCAACGCGAAGAACCUUACCAAGUCUUGACAUCCCUUGACGAUGCUGGAAACAGUAUUUCUCUUCGGAGCAAGGAGACAGGUGGUGCAUGGUUGUCGUCAGCUCGUGUCGUGAGAUGUUGGGUUAAGUCCCGCAACGAGCGCAACCCUUAUGGUCAGUUACUACGCAAGAGGACUCUGGCCAGACUGCCGUUGACAAAACGGAGGAAGGUGGGGAUGGCGU